UCAUGCCCAGAGUACAUCCCUGUCACUGGUGACAUGAGGGCUGAUUUGGUAACAUGGAUUUCCUUUUCAAGCAGUUAAUCAAUCUUGUGGAGGUGGCAGAUGCUUUGGAGUGGAACUCUAAGCGAACUCUGCUACAGUAUCCACACACCACCAAGCAACCCUUACACUAGUGUGCCUAAUUCCCAGGUGCAGCUUUUUCUAUAGUGACUGUGUACUCUUUGAUAAAGAUUAUAUGAAACGGGCCACAUAAGGAUCUAGAUAACCCGUCGGAGGACCAUACCAU
Molecule: long non-coding RNA, 283 nt
Organism: Eublepharis macularius
Lineage: Eukaryota; Metazoa; Chordata; Lepidosauria; Squamata; Eublepharidae
Exons: 3
Source: RefSeq, a predicted model, not a curated record